This 484-nucleotide ribosomal RNA is filed under the name uncultured bacterium. RNAcentral's name for it is "partial 16S ribosomal RNA". It matches the Rfam family "Bacterial small subunit ribosomal RNA", at positions 30 to 507 of the family's 1533-position model. The record is from RNAcentral.
AUUGAACGCUGGCGGCAGGCCUAACACAUGCAAGUCGAGCUGAUGAAGGGAGCUUGCUCCUGGAUUCAGCGUCGGACGGGUGAGUAAUGCCUAGGAAUCUGCCUCGUAGUGCGGGAUAACGUCCGGAAACGGGUGCUAAUACCGCAUACGUCCUGAGGGAGCAAGUUGGGGAUCUUCGGACCUCACGCUAUCAUAUGAGCCUAGGUCGGAUUAGAUAGUUGGUGGGGUAAAGGCCUACCAAGGCGACGAUCCGUAACUGGUCUGAGAGGAUGAUCGGUCACACUGGAGAGGGGACGAGGUCCAGACGACUAAGGGAGGCAGCAGUAGGGAAUAUUGGACAAAGGGCGAAAGCAUGAUCAAGCCAUGGCGCGUGUGUGAAAAAGGUCUUCGGAUUGUAAAGAACUUUAAGUUGGGAGGAAGGGCAGUAAGUUAAGACCUUGCUGGUUUGACGUUACCAACAGAAUAAGCACCGGCUAACUUCGUG